GUGCUUGCUUCGGCAGCACAUAUACUAAAAUUGGAACGAUACAAAGAAAAUUAGCAUGACCCUGUGCAAGGAUGACAUGCAAAUUUGUGAAGUGUUCAAUAUUUUU
Molecule: small nuclear RNA, 106 nt
Filed under: Tupaia belangeri (northern tree shrew)
Lineage: Eukaryota; Metazoa; Chordata; Mammalia; Scandentia; Tupaiidae
Source: RNAcentral